AGCAUCAUGGUAGCUUCCAAGCAUUUGCGGCCCACUGGCCAGUGCAUCCAAAACACAUUCAGGAAACCCGAGAGUUGUAAGUUGCACAUGUGUGGCCUACAGUGACUUCCAUGUAGUAACAGGGCUGAGCAAGGCAGGCUCUCCACCAGACUUAAAGCAUUCAACCACUCUGCCCCCAGGCCGACACUGACAUGUGUUCACUGUCGCUGCCACAGCUGGCCACCUGUGUUCAGUCUCCACGAAGGAUUCACCUUCUGCUCUCACUGACAUUUCCUUGGCUACACAAAUGUGCAGGUGUCUCUUGUCAAAGCUAAUUUUUCUUUUCUAAAUAAACAUCCUUUAAUACACUCCUCCCCUUCCUCACACUUAUUUUUAUCCUUGUUCGUAAUAUCCUACUUGGCUUCCCAUUUUUUAUAGCAGUAAUAUCUAAUUGAUUGCUAAAGACUGCAGUACACAAAGGCAUAAAGCAAAGCACAAGUGCUCUCCGUGGGGAGAACCCGGCCGGCAGCUGGGGAUGCGUCCCAGGGCUCCUCAGCGUGCACACACAGUCACGUGAUUCUGACGGCCUCAUCCUGCACCACGCCUCUUGUAUCCGCCAUUUUCUUUCUUGCUCAACUGUACAGACUGGGCAUUCACUUAAUGCUUUUCUUCUUUUUUUAAGAGAGUCUCACUCUGUUGCCCAGGCACCCCCAGCUUAGGGUGUGCGUAUCACCCAGCCCUGUGCUGGCGGCACGUUACCAACCAGCCUGCGUGAAGACCUGUCAACUGUCGUG
RNAcentral lists this small RNA (773 nucleotides) under Pan troglodytes (chimpanzee). RNAcentral describes it as "processed transcript". The record is from RNAcentral. Lineage: Eukaryota; Metazoa; Chordata; Mammalia; Primates; Hominidae.